RNAcentral lists this ribosomal RNA (523 nucleotides) under uncultured Acidobacteriota bacterium. RNAcentral's name for it is "bacterial SSU rRNA". It matches the Rfam family "Bacterial small subunit ribosomal RNA", at positions 356 to 896 of the family's 1533-position model. The record is from RNAcentral. Lineage: Bacteria; Pseudomonadati; Acidobacteriota.
CGGGAAUUUGCGCAAUGGACGAAAGUCUGACGCAGCAACGCCGCGUGAGGGAUGAAGGCCUUCGGGUUGUAAACCUCUUUUCUCAGGGACGAUAAUGACGGUACCUGAGGAAUAAGCCACGGCUAACUACGUGCCAGCAGCCGCGGUAAUACGUAGGUGGCGAGCGUUGUCCGGAUUUACUGGGCGUAAAGAGCGCGCAGGCGGUCGUGCAAGUCGCGUGUGAAAGCCCCCGGCUCAACUGGGGAGGGUCACGCGAUACUGCUCGACUCGAAGGCAGGAGAGGGAAGUGGAAUUCCCGGUGUAGUGGUGAAAUGCGUAGAUAUCGGGAGGAACACCAGUGGCGAAGGCGACUUCCUGGCCUGUUCUUGACGCUGAGGCGCGAAAGCUAGGGUAGCAAACGGGAUUAGAUACCCCGGUAGUCCUAGCCGUAAACGAUGGACACUAGGUGUUGGUGGUAUCAACCCCGCCAGUGCCGAAGCUAACGCAUUAAGUGUCCCGCCUGGGGAGUACGGCCGCAAGGCUA